Long non-coding RNA from Motacilla alba alba, 2264 nucleotides. RefSeq lists it as uncharacterized. The record is from RefSeq and is a predicted model, not a curated record. NCBI's taxonomy places the organism in Eukaryota, Metazoa, Chordata, Aves, Passeriformes, Motacillidae. The transcript has 2 exons.
CUCCGCGCCUGCGCGGGGCUCGCCCGGGCCCGGGAGCGCUGCGGGGCGCGGGAGGGCCCGGGGCGUCCCGGCGGAGCAGCUUCCCCUCGUCCUUCCCUGCUCCCGGCAGCCGUGAUCCGAGCGGAGAGGAGGCCGUGUUUAGGACGCAGAGAGCGAGGAGGCUGAGGGGAAGAACGCACCGGGGUGUCGCUGCCCGUGCGCUGUGGCGGAACAGUACGAGAUGCGCUGUCAGACUCUGCUCACGAAGCAAGUAUGUAUCGAGACUGUCUUGAUCUAGCCUGGUCUGAAGUUUUGAACAGAAUUGGUUCCUUUACAAGCAUUGGGCUUCAGCACUAUGCCCUUUGGCAUUUCACAGAAAUAAACAGAAGAGCUUUAGCUGAAGAGGAGGCAUUACAGACAGAAAGAAACCCCUACCUUGCCAAGGAGAUUUUCUGCAAUGAAAAGCUGUAAGGAGCUGUAAGGAGUUCUAGGAUGAUGGUUUUGCUCAGACUGAUUUGAGCCCCCUGUGCCUUUAGGUUGCAAGGGUCUGAUUUAAAGAUCUCCCUACUGACAAGAGCCCAGCCCCUGUGACAGGCAGCUCAGUCGCACACAUCUGCUCCUCACCUCCCUCUGUGUGCAGUUCAGUCGCACACAUCUGCUCCUCACCUCCAUCUGCUACAGCUCAGUUUCCACCUGACUAUCCACAUCUCCUUUGGCACUCUGCAUCUCCUGCUUCACCAGCUCUGAUUUCAUGUCUUCAGCUUCUGCCUUAUGCAUGUUACCACCCACUGCUCUACUGCUCUGGCUCCUCUUCCUUAUACAUUUGAACUGAAUAUUUCUUCCCUCUGCAUUUUCACGGCAUCAGCUUCCUUUCCUAAGGACAUUAAAUCUUUCAGGGGUCUUUAGGCUCUGGAAUCUGACUGACUUUUACAGGUUACACACAAUUUGAGUUUUCCAGGAAAAUAACAUGGGCAGUUAUUUUGCUCAAGGAUGGCACAAACAUCUCCCUGAGAUUAAAGGUAGUCCUAAAAAUACCAGUCCUGUGCCCUGAAGCAUGGAAACAUUAGUGAUUCUUUCUUUCCAAAAACAUGUCAGGCAUUACUAAUAAUAGAUGGUGCUACCAGCAGCCUCUUAUGUAAGUGGCCACUACUGAGGUGUAAAUUUAAAUGAGCUGUGGCUUUGUAGUAAAGCACACACCAUAGCAAAAUUGAGCUUUUAGCACACACUAAGCCUGCCAGAUAUGUAAUAAGGCAUACUCUUUGAUGUUGUCAGUUACAGAUGUUGCUCCUAGUUUACAUAAACAACAAAAAAAAAAUCAGUUGUCGGCUCUUUAAAAGGUUAGAGGUAUCACUUUUAGUCUUUUGUUUGCCUUUAAAAACAAGACUCAAAUUAUAUGAGGAAAAUCAUUGUCAUUUAUUAACGAUAUAGCUGGCAUCCAUGUUGCUGCUAGAAAUUACAGUGUUCAGUAUUUGCACAUUAGAAAAUGUAAUUAUUUUAAUAGUCUAGCAUGUAAAUUGUAGCAAAAAUAUAUCAAAGAUGUAGAGUUAAAAUCUCAUUAAUAGUGGAUGAUGGAAGAUAGCAGAUGACAAUUAUGAAAUAAAUGGAAGAAAAGAGCAAGUCAAGAGAAGGGUGGGGUAUUGGGAGGAAAAUAUUAAAUACUUCCUGGCAAAAAUUGCCUUGUUAGACUGCAAACACUGGAUGGGAAUUUUAGCCCUCAAUGACAGUUUUUUUGCAGCCUGCGUUUUGGGGUGACUUUAUGAUGCUUGUAUCCUUAAUUGUCUGUUUUGUUUAUACUGGAUGUUAAGUUUUGCAUUUUUAAGACUGGUUCCAAGAGCAAAGCAGGGGAGAGAAGAAGCUCAGAGUUUAUUAUCAGAAACUGCCCUUGCUCCUCUGCAUCCUUCUCCUGAACUGUGUUGUCUGCAGAACGGUCAGACGGCGCGGGAGAGCUUUCUUUUGCUUUUAGUUAGUUUUUAGCUGGCUGAGGCAGAGAAGUUCCCUAGACUGUGGUUUUUCUUAUCCUUAGAACUGUUUAAACCUGCUCUGAACUGGAAACCCAGAAAAGCACCGGCAGCUUGCACCUGUGGCCCACCUGGCCAGGCCUGGGCUGCAGCAUUUCCAGCAUCAGAGGCACUGGUAACAGACUGAGUGAGACAAGCUGCAAACCAUGAAAAGGACUUUUGGAGUUUGUCAUCUCUUCAGAUUGACAAGAGGUUUUAUUGUUUAAUAUUGUUCAGUUUUUGUGGUGGUGAAUGCUUUGCCUGUUAAAUAAACAGGUUUUUCUUCCA